Molecule: ribosomal RNA, 521 nt
Filed under: uncultured bacterium
Lineage: Bacteria
Description: bacterial SSU rRNA
Rfam family: Bacterial small subunit ribosomal RNA
Source: RNAcentral
AAUAGAUACCCGGGUAGUCCACGCCGUAAACGAUGUCGACUUGGAGGUUGUGCCCUUGAGGCGUGGCUUCCGGAGCUAACGCGUUAAGUCGACCGCCUGGGGAGUACGGCCGCAAGGUUAAAACUCAAAUGAAUUGACGGGGGCCCGCACAAGCGGUGGAGCAUGUGGUUUAAUUCGAUGCAACGCGAAGAACCUUACCUACUCUUGACAUCCAGAGAACUUAGCAGAGAUGCUUUGGUGCCUUCGGGAACUCUGAGACAGGUGCUGCAUGGCUGUCGUCAGCUCGUGUUGUGAAAUGUUGGGUUAAGUCCCGCAACGAGCGCAACCCUUAUCCUUUGUUGCCAGCGGUUAGGCCGGGAACUCAAAGGAGACUGCCAGUGAUAAACUGGAGGAAGGUGGGGAUGACGUCAAGUCAUCAUGGCCCUUACGAGUAGGGCUACACACGUGCUACAAUGGCAUAUACAAAAGAGAAGCGACCUCGCGAGAGCAAGCGGACCUCAUAAAGUAUGUCGUAGUCCGGA